AAGUUAAAAAUUUCGAAGAAGUCAGCAUGAAGUCAGUGACAAAGUUCCAGAUUUAAACAGACUUACAUUUGUUUUUGAUAACCGUCAUACUCUUUAGCGGAUUCGAGGCCAGAGUCAGCCGUCAUAACCAAUCAAUAUGCAAGUUUGGCUUGUGCUGGGAUUGAGCAGCAUGUCACCAGAAGUCUCAUCGCUUGGAUAAACAGCAUCCCUCUUGAUUGGAGAAACUUCUGUUGUCGGCCGAGUUAUGGAUCUCCCUUUUUCCCCUUUUUUAAAAUGUCCUCGUGUACACCCAUGUGAGUGUGGGUGUAUUCACGAGGCCACCCUUUUUACCCUAUCCCGUCUGCUGGUGUAAUUCAACUCUUCAGCGGAUGGAUGGAGCAACCGUGGAUGCCUGGCUGUAUUUCCCAGGCAUAAAGACUCGCGUGCGGAGUGGAUGAUACGUAACAUUUUCAUCUGUCAAAUGCGGGCGGGCGCGCGCGGGAUAUUCAAAUUAAUUUUCUUAAUAGAAUUCGGUGGCACGUGCCAGUUGAACUCGACGACUCGCGCUUGUCAACUUCAAACCCAAAGUGGUUUCAUCAUCCACCGAAAAUUCAUUUUCUUUUCUUUUUUUCCCUUUUUGAAUGCUCGAUGUUAUCCAAUAUAAUGACGUGUCCCAUCUCAACAAUUAUUAUUUGUUCUCUGAAAUCGUACCUUGUGUGCCGUGUUCCGCCUAGCGUGCAGCUUUAGAUACUCGGCGGGAGGGGGAAAAAAAUGAAAAAGCAGAGAAAGAGUUGCAAAAAUCGAUUUCCGACGUCAUCCGGAAGGAUGCGGAUGAAACGCCGUGGUUGUUGACUGUGAAAUCGGGGGGGUUUACUGAGCUAUACAGUAUACAACAAUUCAAACGUCAAUAAAUUCAACGAUUAUCAUCGAGUGUUUAUGUACUGUGUAGCACAACUAACAGUUGCGUUUGUGUACA
Molecule: long non-coding RNA, 955 nt
Organism: Daphnia pulex (common water flea)
Lineage: Eukaryota; Metazoa; Arthropoda; Branchiopoda; Diplostraca; Daphniidae
Exons: 4
Source: RefSeq, a predicted model, not a curated record